AUCGAACGCUGGCGGCAUGGCUAAAACAUGCAAGUCGAACGCGAAUGGUAGCAAUACCUAGUAGAGUGGCGGACGGGUGAGUAAUGCAUUUCUAACGUACCCCGAGGUUAGGGAUAGCUGUGGGAAACUGCAGGUAAUACCUGAUGAUCUGGCGAGGCUGUAUGGCUUUGCCAGCAAAGGCUUGUAUGCCUUGGGAGCGGGAAAUGUGGUAUCAGGUAGUUGGUGGGGUAACGGCCUACCAAGCCUUUGACGCCUAGCCGGUGUGAGAGCACGACCGGCCACAUCGGGACUGAGACACUGCCCGGACACCUACGGGUGGCUGCAGUAACGGAUCUUCCGCAAUGGGCGCAAGCCUGACGGAGCAAUGCCGCGUGCAGGACGAAGGCCUUCGGGUUGUAAACUGCUGUCAGGGUUUAGCAACACAAUGAGCAAACCCAGAGGAAGAGAUGGCUAACUCUGUGCCAGCAGCCGCGGUAAU
RNAcentral lists this ribosomal RNA (478 nucleotides) under uncultured bacterium. RNAcentral's name for it is "bacterial SSU rRNA". It matches the Rfam family "Bacterial small subunit ribosomal RNA", at positions 30 to 524 of the family's 1533-position model. The record is from RNAcentral.